GAUAAUAUUGUGCGCAUAAGAAUUUGUUGGUGCCCCAUGGGAUGGGAUGCCACAUUCCUUCUUUUUCCAUUUUAAACUCCAAUGAAAAUUUUAUACAUGAUUGUAAUCUGAUUAUUAAGAGGUGCAAAAGAGUCCUUCUAUCUCUUAGUCACUUAUUUUAUCUAGAAUGAUUGAAUAAAAAGGAAGCUUUGACCACCCACACCCAUGCUCCUAAUAAAGAGUCCAUGUUGUUAAGGACUCUUAUCUAAUUGUCAUGCCUCCCCUCAUAUCUGAAUUUUCUCCACGCC
This 287-nucleotide long non-coding RNA is filed under the name Elaeis guineensis (African oil palm). RNAcentral's name for it is "long non-coding RNA (EGUI_LNC048499)". Lineage: Eukaryota; Viridiplantae; Streptophyta; Magnoliopsida; Arecales; Arecaceae. The record is from RNAcentral.